GGAAGCUACUGUGUCUUCAGCAAUCAGGGAGGGCUGGUGCAUCCCAAGACUUCAAUUGAAGACCAGGAUGAGCUGUCCUCUCUUCUUCAAGUCCCCCUUGUGGCGGGGACUGUGAACCGAGGCAGUGAGGUGAUUGCUGCUGGGAUGGUGGUGAAUGACUGGUGUGCCUUCUGUGGCCUGGACACAACCAGCACAGAGCUGUCAGUGGUGGAGAGUGUCUUCAAGCUGAAUGAAGCCCAGCCUAGCACCAUUGCCACCAGCAUGCGGGAUUCCCUCAUUGACAGAUUGGGUAACUCAAGGCGUCCCUGGAGUACACUGAGGAUAAGUGUUUGAGAAAUGCUGUCUGAAGGAAUGAAGUCAGUCUAUGACAACGUCUCUCUGCCGUGAAUCAUUCCUGCAGAUGAAAAAGUGUGACUUGGCAGCUGACCCCACCUCAGAGUUCACUCCCCGAGAGCCCAACCUGCAACACGUCAAGCAGACUGCCACCCUGUCAGUCCAUGGCUGAUGGAGGACAGAUGACAAGAUAUAC
RNAcentral lists this long non-coding RNA (529 nucleotides) under Homo sapiens (human). RNAcentral's name for it is "non-protein coding lnc-MMP24OS-73:1". Lineage: Eukaryota; Metazoa; Chordata; Mammalia; Primates; Hominidae. The record is from RNAcentral.